Molecule: long non-coding RNA, 733 nt
Filed under: Homo sapiens (human)
Lineage: Eukaryota; Metazoa; Chordata; Mammalia; Primates; Hominidae
Description: long intergenic non-protein coding RNA 1018
Source: RNAcentral
GGCAGAGGAGAGGGAAGGGUCGCGCCUGGUGGGGGCCUGAGAGCCACCGGGCUGCGGUGCGCGAGUGUGGACACCGCCCCGCCUUCUGCGUCUACAGCCCUGGGUUCUGGGACCUUUGGAAACCGCUUUGGACGAAGCUGAGCAUCUCUUUCCCCACGCUGACCUCCCCCAUAGACUCCGGAUGGGAGUAAAUGAGGCUCCUGGGAAAUCCAGAAACUCUAGAGAAGCUUGUUUGCCAAACCUUGCUUUGGGCGGUGGAGACAGAAUAUCAUGUCCCAGAUCAGCGUGUGGUGACUGUGGAGGCAUUUACACACAGCACACUCCAGCUCUGCCACUGGGCCGGCUGAGGUGGCUGCGGUACACGGCGCCCAUCCUGAGCCCCAGGUUCCUCACAUGUCAACAGCAUGAAAAGUGCCUCUAAGACAUCCACAGGUGUGCAGUGUUAAAGCAGGCAGCGCCUCAGCUUGGUUAGCUCCCUUAAGGACUGCGGCUCCCUUAGGACAAGGCUCUGUCCCUCAGAGCACUGAGUGCGAUCUCAUGCUGGCAUCUUAGAGACAUUGUAUUCACCAGCCCCAUCAUCCUGAGAUAAUGAAGCCGUUCAUUCUUGGGCACAAAAGUUCGAAUGGAGGCCUUUCCCCGCCAUCCGCAUAAGACGAUGGGACACUGCAGAGCGUCUGGAUUCCUACAAGUGAAAGUGGCUUCAUGUAGAACAUUAAACAUUCCCAUAACUAAA